Long non-coding RNA from Mustela lutreola (European mink), 1399 nucleotides. RefSeq lists it as uncharacterized. The transcript has 3 exons. The record is from RefSeq and is a predicted model, not a curated record. Lineage: Eukaryota; Metazoa; Chordata; Mammalia; Carnivora; Mustelidae.
UGGGCGAAGAGGCUGGUCACGUGAGGGGCGGUGGUCCGGGAACCCGGAGGUCUCUAGGUUGGGAUGCCGGCUGCGGGGGAGCGGGCGGGGAAGGGAGCGGACUGGGGAACAGACCGGGGGAUCUGACCCCGCCUCCCUCAACGGAGGGUUGAGAGGCAGGAGGCUAACGCCCCGUGGAGGAAGGAUCCAGAAGGAUUUCUCGCUUCUCCUAGGGCGAGCAUAACUUCUCCCCACCAGAAAAAGCCGGGAAUCUGAGCCGGUUUCUUAUGAGGCAGCCUCCAGGAAAGGAAUUCGCAAAACAGCACCAAAGGGCUUCAAGCAAAGGAAUGGUAACAGCUUCAGGAUUACCGUAUUUCUCCAAGUUUAAGAUGCUGCCAGUUAUAAGAUGCAUCAUUUUUAAAUAUACCACUGAGAAAAAACAGUUGCCAAAGAAAGAUGUGUCAUCGGUUAUAAGCCUUUUUUUUUUUUUUUUUUCUUUUUGUAAGUAAUCUCUACACCCAACAUAGGGCUUGAAUUCAUGACCUGGGGAUCAAGAGUCACAUGCUCUAGGGACUCAGCCAGCCAGGUGUCCCAAGCUGAUUUUUUUUUUUUUUUAAACACAAGACUAUUGGAACAAUGCAAUAAAAUAGGAAUGGUGUGAAGCUGUAGAACAAGCAUGGAGAUAGAGUACUCCUCUUGCAAUGGUAACUAAGCGUGCAACUUUGGGCAAGAGAACUAUGCUUUCUGGACUUCAGUGUCCAUAUCUGUAUCAAAGAAUUGAACUAAAAGAACUUUUUUCUCUUAGUUGUGAUUUUUAAGUUGGCAGAACUACUCUAUCACUCAAAUCUUCCCACAUCUGUCCAUCUUGGUGUGGCAUUGCCACUCUGCUCCUGGUCUGCAUCAUUCUACUUGAAUGACUCCCCACUACUCUUCCAGACCUUGCAUUCACCCUACAAAAUAUUAAGGCCCCAAACACAAUUGUUUAUGGCCGUCACAUUCAAAUUCAGAAAGACAGAGACAAAGUUGUGUUAUUUGUUAGCUACAGAAGAGAUUAGGAACCUCAAAGGGAGGAAGUUUAAGUUUGAAAACACAAGAGACCAGCUAGUGCUUUAGAUGUAAAUUCUUAACUCUUUAAGCAUUCACUGUACAGUAGGCAGGUCUUCAGGCACGAAGGGCCCACUCCUUUCAUAGAAUUGGGUUUUAUGCCUUCUGGAGAAAGGAGGGAAAAGCUAGGGAAUUCGUUAAAUGAAAAUAAACCUUGUUAACAUUGAAGGAGACAGUCUAUACAGAACAGUGUCCCUGAAGGUCUAGCAUUAUAGCUCCAUCACUCCUUCUAAACACAAAACUCCGUGGAAUAAUGACUGAAGUCCAACCUCAAGCCAACUGAAGACAAACUGAUCUCACGAAAUGUUUCCCACCU